Molecule: long non-coding RNA, 431 nt
Organism: Hydra vulgaris (swiftwater hydra)
Lineage: Eukaryota; Metazoa; Cnidaria; Hydrozoa; Anthoathecata; Hydridae
Source: RefSeq, a predicted model, not a curated record
AUAAUGAGUAAAGUUAUUUAUUAGCCAAAUAAAAACAAGAAAAGUCACCCAUGCUAAUAAAUUAGGCCAUCUGUUGCCUUUUUAUAAGGUUUUGAAUUUGACGAUUUAACAAUAAUACAUGGCUCAACUUGUGAUGCAUUUAGUAAGUUGAAAAAGUAUAGUUGGGCAAGCAAAAUGUUCAUUCGAGCUGUUUGGAUAAAAAAUACAGAGAAAUAAAGUGAGAAAAUUCAAUCGAUAAUUUUUAUGUGCUGGCUAUCAUCAUUAAAUGUAAUAAAUUGUUUCAAUGAAAUGCAUAAACCGCAUCUAACUAAUUCAGAUUUACGCUGCUCAAAAUUAAAUGUCAUGGAGUUAAUAAGCUACUACCAUGCUUAUGCAAGAGAAAACAUAAUAACCAACAGAAUAGUAAGCAAGUACCUACUCCUGUAACGCAA